AUUGAACGCUGGCGGCAGGCCUAACACAUGCAAGUCGAGCGGAUGAAGGGAGCUUGCUCCUGGAUUCAGCGGCGGACGGGUGAGUAAUGCCUAGGAAUCUACCUGGUAGUGGGGGAUAACGUCCGGAAACGGGCGCUAAUACCGCAUACGUCCUGAGGGAGAAAGUGGGGGAUCUUCGGACCUCACGCUAUCAGAUGAGCCUAGGUCGGAUUAGCUAGUUGGUGGGGUAAAGGCCUACCAAGGCGACGAUCCGUAACUGGUCUGAGAGGAUGAUCAGUCACACUGGAACUGAGACACGGUCCAGACUCCUACGGGAGGCAGCAGUGGGGAAUAUUGGACAAUGGGCGAAAGCCUGAUCCAGCCAUGCCGCGUGUGUGAAGAAGGUCUUCGGAUUGUAAAGCACUUUAAGUUGGGAGGAAGGGCAGUAAGUUAAUACCUUGCUGUUUUGACGUUACCAACAGAAUAGGCACCGGCUAACUUCGUG
Molecule: ribosomal RNA, 484 nt
Filed under: uncultured bacterium
Lineage: Bacteria
Description: partial 16S ribosomal RNA
Rfam family: Bacterial small subunit ribosomal RNA
Source: RNAcentral